GCCUAGAAAAACACACAGCGUUUGAAACAAAACUGCUACAACUGAAGACCAACUUAAUCCUAACUACAACUAUGCAUAUAACAAAUCAAUGUGAACUAGUGAAACAACAGAACAAAAGGCAAUUGAAAAUCCUGAAACUAGCUUAGAAGCCAUAAAGAGACACUUGACUGCUAAAAGUAAUUAUCAGAAAACAUCUGAGGGAAGGGGAGAGAAUUCCCAGGUUAAAAGGGACAAAUUCCAGCCUACAUGCACAAGAUGUGGAAAAAGUCAGAACCCAAGAAAUGAUACAUGCCCAGCCAAAGACAGAAGUUGUAAUAAAUGCACUAAAUAUGGACAUUUUGCAGCUAUUGGCCACCCCAAGUCAGUCAGGAAGUUGGACAAUAUUACAGACCAUUAGGAGUCGUCAUUUCUGUGAUCUAUCUCUUGUGAUGACACACAGCCUUCCUGGAGAGUGAAACUGAAUAUUCAUGGCAACACUAUUGACUUUAAAAUUGACUUAGGAGCUGACAUCACAGUCAUAUCAGAAGGGACUUGCAAUUGCUUUAAAAGUCUUCCAGAGCUGAAGUCACCUGACACAGCUUUGACUAACCCUGGAGGUAUUCUGAACUGUAUGGACCAGUUCACCACAAACAACUUAAAAAGAUACAAGUUAUGCAUUGAGUGCAUGUGAUCAAAAGUUUAAAGACUAACAACCUUCUCAGCUGUAGUGUGGCAGCAAUAAUGGGCCUAGUGAGAAAGGUGGAAGAACUCAGAGGAAUUGAUGUACUGGAUCUCCAUUCAAAUAGUCCAAUAUCAAAUCAACUAAAGAGACAAUGCUGAACCAUACAAAACGCAAUCACCCCUACCAGAGAGAUCUUGGAAGAGACUAGCUCCUGAUUUAUGCAAAUUUAGAGGAUGUUGUUACCUGGUUGUAGUGUUCUACUUUUCCAAGUAUAUAGAAAUAAUGUACUAGAAAGACACUACAUGUUGCAGUGUUAUUGAGAAACUGAAGUGUCCUUUUGCUCGUUUUGGUAUUUCAGAACAACUAGUGCUGGAUAACAGGCCAAAAUUCACUGCAGCAGAAUAUACAUCAUUACAAAUGAAAUAUGAUUUUGAUCAUAUUACUAGCAGCCAACAUUAUACAUGAGCAAAUGGAGAGGCUGAGAGAUCUGUACAGACAGUCAAAAACAUCCUACAGCAGGAAGAUCCAUUCCUUGCUCUUAGUUGAAAAUCAACACUAAUAGCAUCUAUUGGAUAUAAUCCAUCCGAACUCUUGAUGGGAGGACAAUUUAGAACUGUUGUUCCAACUUUGGAAAAGGAUAUAUCCUCAAAGCGGCCAGACAUGAAGAGAGUAACCAAACUGGAUAAAAAGGCAAAAAGAGCCUACGAAUGCUUUUUACAACGCUUUCAGUUAGAGAACUGCUGGGUCUAGAACCUGAUGACCAUGUUUAUGUCAAAUUGGAUGGAGAAAAGUUAUGGACAACUCCAGCUGUCAUGAAGAAACAAACAAUUCACUUCCCAGAUCAUAGAUGAUUGAGACCUGACAGCGGAGAGUUCAAGGAACUGUCAACAGCUACAGUUUGUUCCUUAGAAAGAAUAAUCAGCAGAGCAAACUCUACAGAUGAUAGAUGAACAACAAGACGACCACUCAGAAAUUCCAAAUUGACCACAGCCACUCAUUGGAACUAAUGGACAGCCAGAUGACAAAGUGGUUAUGCAUUCAGGAAGUGUAAUUAAAAAGCCAGUAUGAUUCAGA
Long non-coding RNA from Mauremys reevesii (Reeves's turtle), 1735 nucleotides. RefSeq lists it as uncharacterized. Lineage: Eukaryota; Metazoa; Chordata; Testudines; Geoemydidae. The transcript has 2 exons. The record is from RefSeq and is a predicted model, not a curated record.